Molecule: ribosomal RNA, 245 nt
Filed under: uncultured bacterium
Lineage: Bacteria
Description: partial 16S ribosomal RNA
Rfam family: Bacterial small subunit ribosomal RNA
Source: RNAcentral
GUAGGGGGCGAGCGUUAUCCGGAUUCAUUGGGCGUAAAGCGCGCGUAGGCGGGUGCCUAAGCGGGACCUCUAACCUCGGGGCCCAACCCCGAGCCGGGUCCCGAACUGGGCGUCUCGAGUGCGGUAGGGGAGAUCGGAAUUCCCGGUGUAGCGGUGGAAUGCGCAGAUAUCGGGAAGAACACCGAUGGCGAAGGCAGAUCUCUGGGCCGCCACUGACGCUGAGGCGCGAAAGCUAGGGGAGCGAA